GUCGUCGUGGCCUAGUGGUUAAGGCGACAGACUUGAAAUCUGUUGGGCUCUGCCCGCACAGGUUCGAAUCCUGUCGGCGACG
Ciona savignyi (Pacific transparent sea squirt) is the source of this 82-nucleotide non-coding RNA. NCBI's taxonomy places the organism in Eukaryota, Metazoa, Chordata, Ascidiacea, Phlebobranchia, Cionidae. The record is from Rfam.